Molecule: long non-coding RNA, 4669 nt
Filed under: Sus scrofa (pig)
Lineage: Eukaryota; Metazoa; Chordata; Mammalia; Artiodactyla; Suidae
Description: lncRNA (ENSSSCG00015017998.1)
Source: RNAcentral
UGCCCCCUCCAGCAGCCCUUUUGUGGACAGACUCCCUAUCGUUUCUCUGCUAUAGCUCUAAGUGUAAAAUUAUUUUAGUAUAAAAAGUUAAAAAAAAAAAAAUUCAGGAACCUUACUGGACCUGACCCUAGGAACAACCUCAUGCUUUUUGAUGCAACUUUAGAACCUUCUGUGAUCCAGCUUAGCUGGACAAAUAAAAUCUAUACCCAUUAAGCAAUCAGGACCUGUUCUAGAUCCACAUAGACUGUGGGCUCCCAUUGUGAUGGCAUCCAGCGCCCUGGGAUGAGAACGAGGCUUGCGGUCCGGGUGGCGAGUCUCACACGGCAGCCCAGAGGAGGCUCCUGUCCCUGCUCCCUGAGGCCAGGACACCUGCCUUCUAUGGCCCAUGAGUCAGCCACGGGGGUCGACGUGGAUUCAUCUUUUCCUCCCGUCUCUCCCAGGUGCCAAGGUGUGUGCAGAGGAGACCCAGCCCUUUGCAGGUGGUCCCAGGCUGACAGCUCCUCAGCAGCUGCAGGGGUGUAGUUAUUUUUAAACCCGUCCUUUAUUGAGCAACUUUUGUGUGCCGGCUCCACCCUGGGUGCUUUGCGAUGCUCGUUCAGGGGAUCUUUGUCACUCCCAGUAGCUCCAGGUCCUGGAGCUUCCUCUCCUCUGCUGCCAUCCCCCAACCAUCAUCAUCUCUUUCCUGGAAGAUGACAGUGGCUUCCAUGUUGGGCUCCAUGCCUCCGUACAGCAGCCAGCAGGUGCUCUCAGAGGUUGCACGUGCCUUUCAGGUGGCCUAUGCUGAGCCUUGGAGCGAAGCUGAACUUCCUGAGCCUGGGUUACAGGGGCUCAGUGAUUGCCUGCUGUUGGUGGCAGUGACGGAGGCGGUGAUGACCAUGAUGGUGGUGAUGCUGUCAGAACUGGUCCUGCUCCAGUCGGCCCUGCUGCCCACCAGAGAGGGAAUAACCCGCCGGGACCUGGAAGCGUGUAUGAACCAGACAAGGCCUCUGCUGGUUCCCUUCCUAGGAAGCGUGAUUUCUUGACACUUGUUCUCAGAGAGCAGAGGUGCGGGGCGGGCAGAGGGGCUUCACAGCCAAGGGGAAGAAGGACACUGGCAUUUCUCGUGGGUUUCCCUUGUAGUUGGAAACGUGGCCAGUCAAUGAGGGGCCUCCCUCAGCCUUGGGGGUCUGGUGAGGAGCACCCCCGCCGUGUGAGCCUGGCCAUGUCAGCAGGCUGGUCCCUUCUUCCAGAGGUGGAGGCCCUCAGAGAAGCCUGCCCCCUGGCAGGCUUCAGGGACCCAAGGCUUCCCAGCUGGGCAGGAUGGCACUCUCCUCCUUGCUCCCUGACACCAGCUUGCGUUGCUCCAUUUGCAGUAGAUUUUGCAUUCCCUCCAGUGAAUAGGCGCUUUCUGUGUGCUCUGUUCCAGCAUCCUUCCCUCAGGAAAGUCCUUCCUGACCCUGUAGUCUCAUUGGGUCCUCUUGUCAGAGAUGCUCAUGGAACCCAGGCCUUUCUCUUCAGAGCACAUGUCUCAUUGGUAGUUAGAAAUUGAUGGCAUGGAGUAAUUAAGUAGUCACAGCCUGUCUCCCCCACUGUUCUUUUUACUGUUGUAUUUGCAGGAACCACCCUGGUGCCCAGCACAUAGUGGGCACGUAAUGAGUAGUAUUUGGGUAAAUAAAUAAUGAACCAUGUCUGAUUCAUCUUCGUAUCAAUUCCCCAAAGCCUUGCCCAGAAUCACACAUCUAGUCUGAACUCUGUAAAUAAACUUCUGUUGAAGAAUGAGCCCCCUGAGUUUCCGUGGGUUUUUUUUUGUUUGUUUUGUUUUGUUUUUGCUGUGCCUGUGGCAUACAGUUCCCAGGCCAGGGAUUGAGCCUGUGCCAGAGCAGCUACCCAAGCCACAGCAGUGACAAUACCAGAUCCUUAACCGACUGAGCCACCAGGGAACUCCGAGUUCCAGUUCUUGUAACCCAGACUUGAAACCCUGAACACUUGUACUCAGUGGCUUUGAGAAGCCCUGAUCAGUUGGGAAAAUAAAUGCAAAAUUAAAACCAAGUACCACAUGCUAGAAGCAUAUCACUGAAUGUGAUCUAAGAAGCAGGGUCUAAUUAGGGAAUUUGUAAUAUGUUUAGUUCUCCAGGAAAGGAAUCCUCUUUUAACUUGCACAGCCCUUGUUUGGGGUUGCUCUGGUCUCCCUUGCUGGAUCUUUUUCAGGAAUCGCUGGUCAGUAAAAGUGGGGGCUGCCUUUGCUUGAGUUGGGACCCAAUGGUUAGAUAGGAAAACAGUUCAUUUAUUUUGUUUGGAGCCAGCUUUGAUUCUUUGGUUCUAGAGAUGAAAGGCCAAGCACGUAGAGGAAAUGGCCAUGGACUUGGAAGGCCCAAGAUUUUUGGACUCUUCCCUGCUUUUUUCUGUCAUACCCCAGACCAGUUCACAGCAAGACCUGUUGGUUCUGCUUUCCAGUAUUUUCGGAGCCCAAUGCUUCCUCAGUUCCCCGCUCCUGCCACAAGCCAGGUCUGAGCCACCUUCAUUUUUACCUGGACUGCUACACUCCUCAUUGGUCACCUGCCUUCCUCGUCCAUCCUUGCCCCAAGGUCCGUUCUCGGCGCCCCAGCCAGGAUGAUCUUUUUAAAAUGGAAGUCAAGUUGUGUGACUGGCAAAACCUUCCCGUGGUUCCCCAGAGUAAAAGCCAAAGCCCUUCCGUGGCUCAGAGGCUCUGCAUGGCUGACCUCCUCUCGUCCUCACUCUACCCCGACUUACCGGCAUCCUUUCCAUGCAUUGAGCACCCCAAGCACACUCCCGUCCUUGGGUCUUCCCAGUGGCCAGUCCCUCUUCCCCAGUCACCACAUGGCCAACCCCUCACCCUCCAUUGUUAGCCCAGAGGCACCAACUCUGAUCCCCUUAUUUAAAAUUGCAGCCCAGAACUCCUCCCUUGGCCCAGCAUUCCGAUUGCCCACUGCCCUUCUCUCUCCGCCCUCCAACCCCCCACCAAACAGAUUCCUUUCUAGCAUACGGUGUAUCUUGCUAAUUUAUUACCCCAACACUGCUGCCACUUGAGUAUCAUCGUCGUGAGGACAGAGAUGUAUCCCAGUUGUCUGAUACCUAGAAGGAGCUCAGUAAAUGUUUUGUCAGAUGAAUGACUGACUAACUUUCUCCUGACUUGGGUCUUGUGCCUCAAUGGGACAGAUAGAAAGUUUAAGUUAAACUUGGGGGCUCCACUGGCUGUUGGAAAGGAAAGAGAUGUAUCAGUGAGGCUUGAGUUGUUUCAGACCCACUUGUCCUCCUGUCCUCAGUAAAUAGUCGGGGACACAGAAUCAUCCUCUGGGCAGGUCCUGGGGCUCUGGCAGGUGUUUCUUGCAAGUUGAGCGCCUCCUGCAGGUCCCCAGGUCAAGGUCACUUGGUCUCGCUCAUCCCUGAGGCUGAGCAUCUUCCCGCAGGGUCAGUUGGACCAGUUGGUAACUUAAAACAACUUUUACCUUCAUACUAACAUACAUACCUGUGUAUGAAGUACACAGACGUAUUUUGGAGUGAUAUGCAUUUGAUGCCUGUGAAUAUAACAUUCAUGCGAAUUCGUAAGAAAGAAUAAAAAACGUCAAUCAGAGACAUUUGAGCCUGCAGAGAAUGUCCCCCCUCUUCUGGGUUCAUGCUCACCCAAGGAAGCCGAGACGCAGUGGACAGCAGUGGAAAUCUUGGGGAUUUGGCAUUGCCCACCAGUGGCUUUGAGGUUGUCCAUCCAAAGCUGAGCCCAAGUCAGGAGAAAGUUGUUUAUCUGACAAGUAUUGACUUGACACAUAGUAGGCUUUCAAGAAAUAUCUGUUAAAUGAAUAAAAGAAUGAUUUAAGAUCAGUCGUUACAUUUUAUCCGAGUACAAUGACAGGGCAGUUCCUCCCUUGUCUAAGCAACCUCAGGAUCGGCGUUUCCUGAGAAAUAAUACUUCACAUUUGCUGAAUAUUUCCCCGGGCUGGGCAAAUAUUGGGGGUGCUGGAAUCAGAGUCAUGUGUGGGGUGUGAUCUUUAUCCUGGAGAAGCGCACAAUCGCGGGGGGGGUGGGGACACAGGCCCUCCAGGAACUGUGGCCCCUGCCAGUGGGGUUGGCGAAAGGCGCUGGUAGUGGUGUGUUAGCCGCGUAGGCAGAACAAUGAACGGAGACUAAUCCAGUCGGGUGGGGGGAGGGGAGAGUCAUUGAGUCUCCAGGGAGGAAGCAAUUUUUGCGUUGCAGUGGGGGAGGGCAAAGGCAAGAUCCUAAUUAUACCGCUGCAGCAAUGUGCUGCCCUAGGUCAGGCCCGGCCCGACUGGCCGACGCGCCAUCUUGGAGGUGCCCUCUCCAAGAUGGUGGCCCCUGCAUCCUCCCAGAGGCCCUGAACCCCCACAGUCGCAGUGGCCGCUCGGCCUCCCUGAGCCUCUGGCUCUGCUCGCUUAUCGCAGAAAGGCAUUUCAUUCUUCAAGAUCAGGCAGCCAGGACCCAAGGAGCUGUUUUCCUCCAUUGUGCAAGCAUGACAAAUCAUUAAUUUUUGAUUGAUUUGCUUAGAAUUAUGGGCGCCCCAGCAUUCUUUCCGCCGCUGAACAGCUGUAUAACAAAUGAAUAUAUCAGUGUGCACAAAAGAUUGGCGAUCUAAGAGAAGCAAUUACAUUGGCCACCCUCCCCCACCCUCGCCCCUUCCCGGGCAAUGAAGGGAGGAAAUUUUUACCAGAAAUUCCUC